UAUUGAACUUAAUUGAAAAUACGGACUCUGUCGUGCCGAGUUUUAUUUAAGCGGGCUAUCGUGCCGUGCUCGAGCCGGCCCUGUUCGAUUGACACUUCUACUUGGAACUGCAUUAUCCACAUCCAUGGGUUCUGAUAUUUUUUAAAGACGAGGGUGGUGUACGGCGGACAGCACCCCGGUGGUGGCAAGACAAGGAAGAGCGGGUUGAAGGUUGGGGAGGUUGGGGUUAGAGUUUGAGGAGAGAAUAAGAGAAAUUGGGUGAGAACUGAAAUCCUGGGUCAACACGGCUCAACAUUUUAUAUUAUGUGGGGAUGGGAAACCGGAUAAGGAGAGGAGAAAUCCAAUUCCUAAAUCUGCCUGUUUGGAAUGCACGUCGGUUUCAUCCUAACCCUAACACUUUGAGCCGCCCAAGUUGGUUUAUGUAAAUCUGCCUGUUUCGACCACCAAGUUGCUCCAGAGAACCCACUUCCAAUUGCUUAUGAAGAUUGCUGGGCUGCUCUUCAAUGGGUUGCUGAUGCAUUGAACAACUUUCAUAAAAUUAGGUAUGUUUGGCUCAUCCUAUUGUAUUGAUGUUUUGGAUUUGGACUCCUUUUUCAAAAUAGAUUGUCUCAAUUCCUCUUCUUUCACGGAAUGUAAAAAGUAAGGAAAGCCCGUCCUAUAUAUUUCUCUCUCUCCUCUCCUCCGAUCCAAUCUCUUAAACUUUCCUUUCUCUCUUUCCCGUGUCGCCCCCGUGUAUUGAACGCACGGCGAACUGUCAACUCCGGCCGUUUACAGUGGUUUCGGAAUUUGCCGCACUGUCCACACGAAGCUCGAAGCUCACACAGAGCCUUUCUUUUGGAAGACCAAUCAAUCCCUUUCUCUCUCAGCCAAACAAAAUAAAAAAUGGGGAGCGAGAGCAAUCUGAAUACUUGGGUAUCCGAUAAGUUGAUGACGUUGCUCGGAUAUUCUCAGCCCACUGUUGUUCAGUACAUUAUUGGAUUAACCAAACAGGCAAAAUCACCGGCUGAUGUUGUGGGCAAGCUUGUAGAAUUAGAAUUUGGGUUGUCAUCUUCCGCUGAAACAAGUGCAUUUGCUGAAGACAUCUUCGCAAGAGUGCCCCGUAAAGAAUCUGGUUUGAAUCUAUAUCAGAAACAAGAGAGGGAAGCUGCCAUGUUGGUGAAGAAGCAGAAGACAUAUUCUCUCUUGGAUGCAGAUGACGAAGAUGACAAUGAUGGCGAUUCAUCUUCUGUCCAGGUUGUUUCCAAGUCCAGGAAAGCUGAUUCCCGUAAGAAACGAUUCAGGAAGAAGGUCUUGAGUCAAGAAGAUGAAGAUGAUGAGGUGAUUGCACAAGAGGGACAAGUGAGACGAGUUAAAAGACGAACUUAUUCCCCAGAUGACGAUGAUGGUUCAGAGUCAGAAGAGGAAAGAUUGCGUGAUCAAAGAGAGAGGGAGCAAUUGGAGCAGAAUAUAAGGGAACGGGAUACAGCAGCUACAAGAAAGUUAACGGAGAGAAAAUUAACACGAAAGGAAGAAGAGGAGGCUAUUCGGAGAAGCAAUGCAUUGGAGCGGAAUGACCUCGAAGAUUUAAGAAAAGUCUCAAGACAAGAAUAUCUCAAAAAGAGGGAGCAAAAGAAAUUGGAGGAAAUCAGAGACGAUAUAGAGGAUGAGCAAUACUUAUUUGAUGGCGUGAAGCUCACUGAAGCAGAAUAUAGUGAACUAAGCUACAAGAAACAAAUAUACGAGCUGGUGAAGAAGAGGUCAGAUGAGGUUGAGGAUACCACUGAGUACAGGAUGCCAGAUGCGUACGAUGAGGAGGGUGGUGUUAAUCAGGAAAAGAGAUUUUCUGUGGCUGUGCAACGAUACAGGGACCUCAGUGCUGGGGAUAAAAUGAACCCAUUUGCAGAACAGGAAGCUUGGGAGGAUCAUCAAAUUGGAAAAGCAACGCUGAAAUUUGGCUCAAAAAACAAAAAACAAAUAUCUGAUGAGUAUCAAUUUGUAUUUGAGGAUCAGAUUGAUUUUAUCAAGGCAUCAGUGAUGGAUGGUGAUGAGUUUGAUGAUGACGGGCAACCAUCUGAGUUACUUGGGUCGAAGGCGAAAUUGGGCUUAGAGAAGCUCCAGGAUGACAGAAAAAUGUUCGAUAUUGCUCGAUUUAGACCGGAUCUCAAACUGCUUAUCUCAAGUGCAACGCUUGAUGCUGAGAAGUUCAGUGAUUAUUUUGAUUCUGCUCCAAUUUUCAAAAUUCCAGGGAGGCGGUAUCCUGUUGAUAUCCAUUACACGAAAGCACCAGAAGCUGAUUACUUAGAUGCGGCAAUUGUCACUGCACUUCAAAUCCAUGUGACGCAACCACCUGGAGAUAUAUUGGUAUUCCUCACUGGUCAGGAAGAGAUUGAAACAGCGGAAGAAAUAUUGAAGCACAGAACAAGGGGCCUAGGGACAAAAAUUGCUGAGCUGAUUAUUUGCCCCAUAUAUGCAAACCUACCUACUGAGCUGCAAGCAAAAAUUUUUGAAGCCACACCUGAUGGGGCAAGGAAGGUUGUCCUUGCCACAAAUAUAGCUGAAACUUCGUUGACCAUUGAUGGGAUCAAAUAUGUUAUUGACCCAGGGUUUUGCAAGAUGAAGUCGUAUAACCCAAGGACUGGAAUGGAGUCAUUGCUAGUUACUCCCGUCUCAAAGGCAUCAGCUAUGCAGAGGGCAGGUCGAUCUGGUCGAACGGGUCCUGGAAAGUGCUUCCGGUUAUAUACUGCCUACAAUUAUUACAAUGAUUUAGAUGAUAACACAGUACCAGAAGUACAAAGAACUAAUCUUGCAAAUGUUGUGCUUACGCUGAAGAGCCUGGUAUUCAUGACUUAUUGCAUUUUGAUUUUAUGGACCCUCCGCCAUCUGAAGCAUUACUAAAAGCCCUGGAACUGUUAUUUGCACUAAGUGCAUUAAAUAAAGUGGGUGAGUUGACUAAAGUCGGUAGAAGGAUGGCAGAGUUUCCUCUUGAUCCCAUGCUAUCUAAGAUGAUAGUUGCUUCUGAUAAGUACAAGUGUUCAGAUGAAGUCAUUUCCAUUGCUGCCAUGCUUUCCAUUGGUAAUUCCAUCUUUUACCGUCCCAAGGACAAACAAGUCCAUGCUGACAAUGCACGUUUGAAUUUUCACACCGGGAAUGUGGGAGAUCACAUUGCAUUGCUCAAGGUCUAUAACUCAUGGAAAGAGACCAACUUCUCAACCCAGUGGUGUUAUGAAAACUAUAUACAGGUGAGGAGCAUGAAGCGUGCUAGAGAUAUUAGAGACCAGCUUGAGGGACUCUUGGAGAGGGUUGAGAUUGAGCUGGUCUCAAAUCUCAGUGAUUACGAGACCAUAAAGAAGGCCAUUACAUCUGGCUUCUUCCCUCAUUCCGCAAAGCUUCAAAAGAAUGGAUCUUAUAGAACAGUCAAACAUCCACAGACUGUCCAUAUACAUCCCAGCUCAGGGCUGUCACAGGUGCUUCCGAGAUGGGUUAUAUACCAUGAAUUGGUACUUACAACCAAGGAAUAUAUGAGACAGGUAACAGAAUUAAAGCCGGAGUGGUUAGUGGAAAUAGCUCCGCAUUAUUACCAGCUGAAGGAUGUUGAAGAUUCGAUGUCAAAGAAAAUGCCCCGGGGAGAAGGGCGCCCACAACAGGAUUGAGAACUUGAAGAUAGUUGUAUAUAUCACUAUCACUGGUGGUUUGUUGGGGAUGGUAGAGCAAAAGAAGCCUAUAAAUACAAUUUUGUGUACCAGAACAAAACUGCAUUUUCAACUAGUUGACACACUAACAACUUGGGGCUUAUAGACUGAAUCUUUUUGCAGUAAUUACAGGAGAAUCUGAGGGUAUUCUUUUCUUACCGUUACGUUACAAGUUUAGUUGACACACUAACAACUUGGAGUUAGGCAACUAAGGUGUAUUCUGUAUCUGACAAAUCUGUACAAGAAUCGACGUUCCUAUGUUUUUUUGAAUUUUAUUUGAGUUCUCAAUAAAUAAAUAAAAAUUAUUCUUCUUUCA
Molecule: non-coding RNA, 3984 nt
Organism: Prunus avium (sweet cherry)
Lineage: Eukaryota; Viridiplantae; Streptophyta; Magnoliopsida; Rosales; Rosaceae
Source: RefSeq, a predicted model, not a curated record